CUACGGGGUGCUGCAGUGAGGAAUAUUGCACAAUGGGGGAAACCCUGAUGCAGCAACGCCGCGUGGAGGAUGACGCAUUUCGGUGUGUAAACUCCUUUUAUAUGUCAAGAAAAUGACGGUAGCAUAUGAAUAAGCACCGGCUAACUCCGUGCCAGCAGCCGCGGUAAUACGGAGGGUGCAAGCGUUACUCGGAAUCACUGGGCGUAAAGGACGCGUAGGCUGGUUGGUAAGUCAGGUGUGAAAUCCUACAGCUUAACUGUAGAACUGCACUUGAAACUAUCAACCUAGAGUAUGGGAGGGGGAGAUGGAAUUAGUGGUGUAGGGGUAAAAUCCGUAGAUAUCACUAGGAAUACCGAAAGCGAAGGCGAUCUCCUGGAACAUAACUGACGCUAAGGCGUGAAAGCGUGGGGAGCAAACAGGAUUAGAUACCCGAGUAGUC
RNAcentral lists this ribosomal RNA (439 nucleotides) under uncultured bacterium. RNAcentral's name for it is "partial 16S ribosomal RNA". It matches the Rfam family "Bacterial small subunit ribosomal RNA", at positions 339 to 795 of the family's 1533-position model. The record is from RNAcentral.